UCUGCGGGGUGCUCGGCCGUGGCCGCAAGCACGACCUCGCGGGUCGUGGCGCUGUAGUCCAGUUGCAUGCCCGAGCCGCGGGA
Molecule: transfer RNA, 83 nt
Filed under: Phycisphaerales bacterium
Lineage: Bacteria; Pseudomonadati; Planctomycetota; Phycisphaerae; Phycisphaerales
Description: tRNA-Ala
Source: RNAcentral